UUAAGCGACUAAGCGUACACGGUGGAUGCCCUGGCAGUCAGAGGCGAUGAAGGGCGUGCUAAUCUGCGAUAAGCGCCGGUAAGGUGAUAUGAACCGUUAUAACCGGCGAUACCCGAAUGGGGAAACCCAGUGUGACUCGUCACACUAUCAUUAACUGAAUCCAUAGGUUAAUGAGGCGAACCGGGGGAACUGAAACAUCUAAGUACCCCGAGGAAAAGAAAUCAACCGAGAUUCCCCCAGUAGCGGCGAGCGAACGGGGAGGAGCCCAGAGCCUGAAUCAGCAUGUGUGUUAGUGGAAGCGUCUGGAAAGGCGCGCGAUACAGGGUGACAGCCCCGUACACAAAAGCGCAUGUGCUGUGAGCUCGAUGAGUAGGGCGGGACACGUGGUAUCCUGUCUGAAUAUGGGGGGACCAUCCUCCAAGGCUAAAUACUCCUGACUGACCGAUAGUGAACCAGUACCGUGAGGGAAAGGCGAAAAGAACCCCGGCGAGGGGAGUGAAAAAGAACCUGAAACCGUGUACGUACAAGCAGUGGGAGCNNGUGACUGCGUACCUUUUGUAUAAUGGGUCAGCGACUUAUAUUCUGUAGCAAGGUUAACCGAAUAGGGGAGCCGGAGGGAAACCGAGUCUUAAUUGGGCGUUAAGUUGCAGGGUAUAGACCCGAAACCCGGUGAUCUAGCCAUGGGCAGGUUGAAGGUUGGGUAACACUAACUGGAGGACCGAACCGACUAAUGUUGAAAAAUUAGCGGAUGACCUGUGGCUGGGGGUGAAAGGCCAAUCAAACCGGGAGAUAGCUGGUUCUCCCCGAAAGCUAUUUAGGUAGCGCCUCGUGAAUUCAUCUCCGGGGGUAGAGCACUGUUUCGGCUAGGGGGCCAUCCCGGCUUACCAACCCGAUGCAAACUGCGAAUACCGGAGAAUGUUAUCACGGGAGACACACGGCGGGUGCUAACGUCCGUCGUGAAGAGGGAAACAACCCAGACCGCCAGCUAAGGUCCCAAAGUCAUGGUUAAGUGGGAAACGAUGUGGGAAGGCCCAGACAGCCAGGAUGUUGGCUUAGAAGCAGCCAUCAUUUAAAGAAAGCGUAAUAGCUCACUGGUCGAGUCGGCCUGCGCGGAAGAUGUAACGGGGCUAAACCAUGCACCGAAGCUGCGGCAGCGANNGUUGGGUAGGGGAGCGUUCUGUAAGCCUGCGAAGGUGGCCUGUGAGGGUUGCUGGAGGUAUCAGAAGUGCGAAUGCUGACAUAAGUAACGAUAAAGCGGGUGAAAAGCCCGCUCGCCGGAAGACCAAGGGUUCCUGUCCAACGUUAAUCGGGGCAGGGUGAGUCGACCCCUAAGGCGAGGCCGAAAGGCGUAGUCGAUGGGAAACGGGUUAAUAUUCCCGUACUUGGUGUUACUGCGAAGGGGGGACGGAGAAGGCUAUGUUGGCCGGGCGACGGUUGUCCCGGUUUAAGCGUGUAGGUGUGUGUUCCAGGUAAAUCCGGUUCACUUUAACACUGAGGCGUGAUGACGAGGCACUACGGUGCUGAAGCAACAAAUGCCCUGCUUCCAGGAAAAGCCUCUAAGCAUCAGGUAACAUCAAAUCGUACCCCAAACCGACACAGGUGGUCAGGUAGAGAAUACCAAGGCGCUUGAGAGAACUCGGGUGAAGGAACUAGGCAAAAUGGUGCCGUAACUUCGGGAGAAGGCACGCUGACACGUAGGUGAAGUGAUUUACUCAUGGAGCUGAAGUCAGUCGAAGAUACCAGCUGGCUGCAACUGUUUAUUAAAAACACAGCACUGUGCAAACACGAAAGUGGACGUAUACGGUGUGACGCCUGCCCGGUGCCGGAAGGUUAAUUGAUGGGGUCAGCGCAAGCGAAGCUCCUGAUCGAAGCCCCGGUAAACGGCGGCCGUAACUAUAACGGUCCUAAGGUAGCGAAAUUCCUUGUCGGGUAAGUUCCGACCUGCACGAAUGGCGUAAUGAUGGCCAGGCUGUCUCCACCCGAGACUCAGUGAAAUUGAACUCGCUGUGAAGAUGCAGUGUACCCGCGGCAAGACGGAAAGACCCCGUGAACCUUUACUAUAGCUUGACACUGAACAUUGAGCCUUGAUGUGUAGGAUAGGUGGGAGGCUUUGAAGCGUGGACGCCAGUCUGCGUGGAGCCGACCUUGAAAUACCACCCUUUAAUGUUUGAUGUUCUAACGUGGACCCGUAAUCCGGGUUGCGGACAGUGUCUGGUGGGUAGUUUGACUGGGGCGGUCUCCUCCUAAAGAGUAACGGAGGAGCACGAAGGUUGGCUAAUCCUGGUCGGACAUCAGGAGGUUAGUGCAAUGGCAUAAGCCAGCUUGACUGCGAGCGUGACGGCGCGAGCAGGUGCGAAAGCAGGUCAUAGUGAUCCGGUGGUUCUGAAUGGAAGGGCCAUCGCUCAACGGAUAAAAGGUACUCCGGGGAUAACAGGCUGAUACCGCCCAAGAGUUCAUAUCGACGGCGGUGUUUGGCACCUCGAUGUCGGCUCAUCACAUCCUGGGGCUGAAGUAGGUCCCAAGGGUAUGGCUGUUCGCCAUUUAAAGUGGUACGCGAGCUGGGUUUAGAACGUCGUGAGACAGUUCGGUCCCUAUCUGCCGUGGGCGCUGGAGAACUGAGGGGGGCUGCUCCUAGUACGAGAGGACCGGAGUGGACGCAUCACUGGUGUUCGGGUUGUCAUGCCAAUGGCACUGCCCGGUAGCUAAAUGCGGAAGAGAUAAGUGCUGAAAGCAUCUAAGCACGAAACUUGCCCCGAGAUGAGUUCUCCCUGAGACUUAGAGUCUCCUGAAGGAACGUUGAAGACGACGACGUUGAUAGGCCGGGUGUGUAAGCGCAGCGAUGCGUUGAGCUAACCGGUACUAAUGAACCGUGAGGCUUAACCUU
This 2884-nucleotide ribosomal RNA is filed under the name Salmonella enterica subsp. enterica serovar Infantis. RNAcentral describes it as "bacterial LSU rRNA". It matches the Rfam family "Bacterial large subunit ribosomal RNA". RNAcentral also lists the same sequence under 1 other name. The record is from RNAcentral. Lineage: Bacteria; Pseudomonadati; Pseudomonadota; Gammaproteobacteria; Enterobacterales; Enterobacteriaceae.